This 448-nucleotide ribosomal RNA is filed under the name Turbinella rapa. RNAcentral describes it as "partial 16S ribosomal RNA". It matches the Rfam family "Bacterial large subunit ribosomal RNA", at positions 1920 to 2567 of the family's 2925-position model. Lineage: Eukaryota; Metazoa; Mollusca; Gastropoda; Neogastropoda; Turbinellidae. The record is from RNAcentral.
UUUUUUAACGGCCGCGGUACUCUGACCGUGCAAAGGUAGGAUAAUCAUUUGCCUUAUAAUUGAAGGCUAGAAUGAAUGGUUUGACAAGAAUACAACUGUCUCUUUACAAUUACAUAAAAUUUUAUCUGCAGUUGAAGAAGCCUGCAUUUGAAUAAAAGACAAGAAGACCCUAUCGAGCUUAAAAAAAACUGGUGGAAUAACAAACUUAAUCCUAACUUAUAAAUAAAUAAAUAGUCAACUACUGGAAAUUUUGGUUGGGGCGACCGGGGAACAAAAAAAACUUCCUUUAUAAAAAUUUAGAUGCCCAAAUAUUGAUCCAGCAUUAUAUGAUUAAAGAAAUUAGUUACCGUAGGGAUAACAGCAUUAUCUUUUUUAAGAGUUCUUAUCGAAAAAAAGGUUUGUGACCUCGAUGUUGGACCAGAAUAUCCUAAAGAUGCAGCCGUCUUAA